AUCACUCAAGAGCCACAAAAUCUGCUUUAUAACACAUCGAAAGUGGUUGCUACAGUGUAUCAUCCUUCUGCCUCAGGAGGUAGCAUGAAGAAGCUCCAAAAGUGCUCCAGGGGAACGAUGUCUCUAAAUGCUCCAGCGCGAAGUACCGGCACCAUUAAUAGAGUAAAUUGCAAGUACAACACAGCAGUCAUCCGAACGGACGGAGAGCACUCCCUCUUGAGUGAGCCUCGGAUUUUAAGCCCUGAAAGAGCAGCUUGACACCCUGUGACCUGCCUGAGACUGAUGUUCUUCGGGACAGCGGCUGGUUUUACCUCGUGUCUUGUGCUUUGAAAGAGCAUCUCUGGGGCUUUGGUAAUCACAGCAAUACCCCAGCUAAUGACAAUUCUUACUCCUCUAUAAUAUCUGACAU
This is a long non-coding RNA of Grus americana (Whooping crane), 409 nucleotides long. RefSeq lists it as uncharacterized. The transcript has 3 exons. Lineage: Eukaryota; Metazoa; Chordata; Aves; Gruiformes; Gruidae. The record is from RefSeq and is a predicted model, not a curated record.